This 461-nucleotide ribosomal RNA is filed under the name uncultured bacterium. RNAcentral describes it as "partial 16S ribosomal RNA". It matches the Rfam family "Bacterial small subunit ribosomal RNA", at positions 338 to 795 of the family's 1533-position model. The record is from RNAcentral.
CCUACGGGUGGCAGCAGUGAGGAAUAUUGGUCAGUGGGCGGAAGCCUGAACCAGCCAAGUCGCGUGAGGGAUUAAGGCCCUGCGGGUCGUAAACCUCUUUUGCCGGGGAGCAGAGGUCCGGACGUGUCCGGGCCGGGAGAGUACCCGGAGAAAAAGCAUCGGCUAACUCCGUGCCAGCAGCCGCGGUAAUACGGAGGAUGCGAGCGUUAUCCGGAUUUAUUGGGUUUAAAGGGAGCGUAGGCGGUUUAGCAAGUCAGAAGUGAAAGCCCGGGGCUCAACUCCGGGACUGCUUUUGAAACUGUUGAACUAGAUUGCAGGAGAGGUAAGUGGAAUUCCUAGUGUAGCGGUGAAAUGCGUAGAUAUUAGGAGGAACACCAGUGGCGAAGGCGGCUUACUGGACUGUAAAUGACGCUGAGGCUCGAAAGCGUGGGGAGCAAACAGGAUUAGAUACCCCUGUAGUC